Molecule: ribosomal RNA, 452 nt
Filed under: uncultured bacterium
Lineage: Bacteria
Description: bacterial SSU rRNA
Rfam family: Bacterial small subunit ribosomal RNA
Source: RNAcentral
UACGGGAGGCAGCAGUGGGGAAUAUUGCACAAUGGGCGCAAGCCUGAUGCAGCCAUGCCGCGUGUAUGAAGAAGGCCUUCGGGUUGUAAAGUACUUUCAGUCGUGAGGAAGGUGUUAAGGUUAAUAACCUUAGCAAUUGACGUUAGCGACAGAAGAAGCACCGGCUAACUCCGUGCCAGCAGCCGCGGUAAUACGGAGGGUGCGAGCGUUAAUCGGAAUUACUGGGCGUAAAGGGCACGCAGGCGGUUAAUUAAGUUGGAUGUGAAAUCCCCGGGCUUAACCUGGGAAUGGCAUUCAAGACUGGUUAGCUAGAGUCUUGUAGAGGGGGUAGAAUUCCAUGUGUAGCGGUGAAAUGCGUAGAGAUGUGGAGGAAUACCGGUGGCGAAGGCGGCCCCUGGGACAAAGACUGACGCUCAUGUGCGAAAGCGUGGGGAGCGAAACAGGGAUUUAGA